Paramormyrops kingsleyae is the source of this 1045-nucleotide non-coding RNA. Lineage: Eukaryota; Metazoa; Chordata; Actinopteri; Osteoglossiformes; Mormyridae. The record is from RefSeq and is a predicted model, not a curated record.
CAUGCUGGCAUGCUGGACGCAGAUGAAAGUCACCACAGCCUCACCCAGGGGAGUGCUUAAACAUGGCCGCCUAUUUGAACAAGCUGCACAUGAGGGCUUAUUCUCAAUCAAAGGCCAUGACCCUGCAGUCAUCAGCCAUUUAACCUCUGACCCCUCUGAAGCAGCCUGGACGACUGACUGCCUGCAUGAAUGUCCCAGACACCUUUCAAUCCAGCUGGUUCUGCUCUGCUGAUGGUCUCGUAUUUUGCUAGCCAGUGUGUUCAUUCAGCUAACCUCAUAGUUAACAGGUGCUUGUUUCAAUGCUGCGUUUUUUUCACACCCUCUCUGAAGGCUUUUAUGGUGGUCUGCUAAAGUCACUUAGCAUGCCAAUCGCUAACCGAUGACGUAAAUAAUUCCUUGAGUGAUUCCGUACCAGCAGAGUAUGCCGGCCAUAACUACCCUGCAUUAAGUUUCUCAGACAGCACUUAUAGUUUUUGUCCUUAAAACUUUAUAUUAUUAUAUAAACAUUAUAGUGAAGCUAUUCACAUUGAGUGCCUGGCACAAGUGUGUGACGACAGAGCCACCGCGGAAGUGUAAUCUUCACGUCCAAAGUACGUGUGUCUUUAACUGCUGCCCUACCUGUUUCCUCAAACUUCACUAACGGCCUUUGUUAGCCCUCAUCCAAGCAAAGUGGGACUGUGUGGGAUUCAGGGUUACAGGAAAGAGAAUGGGGGCUGGGAACAAAUAAGAGGGAAAUCAGAAUGAAAGGGAAGAGCAUAUAUAAAAAUACAGGUAGCCAUGAAGCAAAUUUAGUUCAAGGCUUACAACCCACAAAAUGAAUAAACAGAAAUAUAAAAAUGAAAGUGGGCUGGACAAAGUAUCUUUUAUUUUCGUGCUGAGGCAAUAACCUUGGGACAAGUUCAAGUGCUGUGUGAUAAAGUUUUUCUGCUUCUCUCUGUUAUUAACCGAAUAAUUGCAUAUAUCAUCAAUUAUGUUUUCAUUCUAAUGCCUGAAUUUAUUUGGGUGUUUUGAAAAUUUUUAAACACACGGGCUCAAAAAAAAAAAA